UAGCAAACUUCAUUGAUUUAAAGUUGAAAAUUGGUCAGAUUGGUUGAUGUUUGGUUGAAGUUAAAAAGUCAACAUCAAUUCAAUGUUUAAGUGUAAUCAUAAUUUCAACGUUGAAAAACUGGCAUUUCAUCAACAUUGUUUCAAUGUCAAUGUUCCGAAGGUAUGGGCCGAAGAUUCUAGAAUAGAGCUUUGGUACGCGCUUUAAUCAACCAUCCAAUCAGCAAGCAGCAGAUUUUAUUUGAAUUUUCUCCCGGAGGAGCUGGAUCCUCUCGCUGCACUGCACACGUUAGAGAAGAAGAAAUAGAGGUAUCAGCACAACAUUUGUAAAGAUGUCCUGGCUCUCAACAAAGGCACCAGGCAGGAUUGUUUUUUCUCUUGCAUUCCCAUAAGCCUGACUUCCUGAUGUCCACUACACUCUGUUCUCAAUCUUCUCCAGUCUUUUGCAAACUUUGAUGUUCAGAUGUCCUAUAAGCCUGACUUCCUGAUGUCCACUAC
This is a long non-coding RNA of Sardina pilchardus (European sardine), 495 nucleotides long. RefSeq lists it as uncharacterized. Lineage: Eukaryota; Metazoa; Chordata; Actinopteri; Clupeiformes; Clupeidae. The record is from RefSeq and is a predicted model, not a curated record. The transcript has 3 exons.